AUUGAACGCUGGCGGCAUGCCUUACACAUGCAAGUCGAACGGCAGCGGGGACUUCGGUCCGCCGGCGAGUGGCGAACGGGUGAGUAAUGUAUCGGAACGUACCAUUGAGUGGGGGAUAACGUAGCGAAAGUUACGCUAAUACCGCAUAUUCUCUCCGGAGGAAAGCAGGGGACCGCAAGGCCUUGCGCUCUUUGAGCGGCCGAUAUCAGAUUAGCUAGUUGGUGAGGUAAAAGCUCACCAAGGCGACGAUCUGUAGCGGGUCUGAGAGGAUGAACCGCCACACUGGAACCGGGACACGGUCCAGACUACUACGGGAGGCAGGAGUUGGGAAUUUUGGACAAUGGGGGCAACCCUGAUCCAGCCAUGCCGCGUGAGUGAAGAAGGCCUUCGGGUUGUAAAGCUCUUUCGGCCGGGAAAAAAUCGCAUGGGUUAAUACCCUGUGUGGAUGAUGGUACCGGAAUAAGAAGCACCGGCUAACUACGUGCCAGCCGCCGCCGUAA
Molecule: ribosomal RNA, 500 nt
Filed under: uncultured bacterium
Lineage: Bacteria
Description: partial 16S ribosomal RNA
Rfam family: Bacterial small subunit ribosomal RNA
Source: RNAcentral